This 375-nucleotide long non-coding RNA is filed under the name Chlamydomonas reinhardtii. RNAcentral describes it as "long non-coding RNA (CREI_LNC000104)". Lineage: Eukaryota; Viridiplantae; Chlorophyta; Chlorophyceae; Chlamydomonadales; Chlamydomonadaceae. The record is from RNAcentral.
GUAGACGACUCCGGCCUCCGACAGGGCAGACAUGCGCAUGGCGUUGCGCAUGUAGUCGGUGAAGAUGUAGAAGGUGGCGCAGUAGGGGAUCAGGCCCGACUUGUGCAGGGCAAUGCCGUUGCAGAUGGCGCCCAUGGCGUGCUCACGCACACCGAAGCGCAGGUUGCGCUCGGCAUAGCUGCCCUUCUGGAAGUCGCCAGAGAUCUUCAUCAGGGUCAGGUUGGAGGGGGCCAGGUCGGCCGAGCCACCGAUCAGGCCGGGCAGCGCGGGCGCCAGGGCGUUGAUCAUGGUCUGGCUGUGCUGGCGGGUGGCCAGGCCCUUGUCCUCGGGCUUGAAGUGGGGCAGAGCAGCCUCCCAGUUCUCGGGCAGCUGCGG